RNAcentral lists this ribosomal RNA (238 nucleotides) under uncultured Pseudomonas sp. Its description in RNAcentral is "partial 16S ribosomal RNA". It matches the Rfam family "Bacterial small subunit ribosomal RNA", at positions 1144 to 1382 of the family's 1533-position model. Lineage: Bacteria; Pseudomonadati; Pseudomonadota; Gammaproteobacteria; Pseudomonadales; Pseudomonadaceae. The record is from RNAcentral.
GGAGACUGCCGGUGACAAACCGGAGGAAGUGGGGAUGACGUCAAGUCAUCAUGGCCCUUACGGCCUGGGCUACACACGUGCUACAAUGGUCGGUAUAAAGGGUUGCCAAGCCGCGAGGUGGAGCUAAUCCCAUAAAACCGAUCGUAGUCCGGAUCGCAGUCUGCAACUCGACUGCGUGAAGUCGGAAUCGCUAGUAAUCGUGAAUCAGAAUGUCACGGUGAAUACGUUCCCGGGCCUU